Molecule: ribosomal RNA, 209 nt
Filed under: Clostridioides difficile
Lineage: Bacteria; Bacillati; Bacillota; Clostridia; Peptostreptococcales; Peptostreptococcaceae
Description: partial 23S ribosomal RNA
Rfam family: Bacterial large subunit ribosomal RNA
Source: RNAcentral
GGGAUGACACAGUGGAUAAGCUAAGCACACUGUUGGUUAUGUGUGCCCAAGCAUUGAGGCAGUCAAAGUAGGCAAAUCCGCGUUGAUAAUGCUGGGAUGUGAUGGGGAGCGAGAUUUAGCAGCGAAGGAGCUGAUUUCACACUGUCAAGAAAAGUCUCUAUCGAGGUUAAAGGUACCCGUACCGCAAACCGACACAGGUGGGUGAGGAG